This 250-nucleotide ribosomal RNA is filed under the name uncultured bacterium. Its description in RNAcentral is "partial 16S ribosomal RNA". It matches the Rfam family "Bacterial small subunit ribosomal RNA", at positions 524 to 773 of the family's 1533-position model. The record is from RNAcentral.
UACGUAGGUGGCAAGCGUUGUCCGGAUUUAUUGGGUUUAAAGGGUGCGUAGGCGGCUUUGUAAGUCAGUGGUGAAAUAUGGCAGCUCAACUGUCAGGGUGCCAUUGAUACUGCGGAGCUUGAGUACAGAUGAGGUAGGCGGAAUUGACGGUGUAGCGGUGAAAUGCUUAGAUAUCGUCAAGAACACCGAUAGCGAAGGCAGCUUACUGGGCUGUAACUGACGCUGAGGCACGAAAGCGUGGGGAGCAAAC